AGUGGAUUAAACAACCCCGUAUUAUCAUUUUCAUAUAGUUUACACCGAAAACUCAAGAACUACAAGGCUACUCAUAAAAAUCGAGAGAAAACAAAUGCUUUUUGUUAAGUGUCAUUGCUGAAAUUUUCACAAACAUGACAAAAUAAUCAGUUUUUCUAGCGGAAAAUCAUUUUUCACAACACUUAGAUUGCCAGUUUAGUCUUAAUAAGCAAGAUAGUCAAGCUUUCAUAUUUUACGCAACCUAAUCAACCAAGGACAAAGUCACUACUAUCUGCUGAAUAAAAUGAGAACAACUAG
RNAcentral lists this long non-coding RNA (297 nucleotides) under Linum usitatissimum (flax). RNAcentral's name for it is "long non-coding RNA (LUSI_LNC005161)". The record is from RNAcentral. Lineage: Eukaryota; Viridiplantae; Streptophyta; Magnoliopsida; Malpighiales; Linaceae.